UAGAAUGCAAAAAGUCUGCUA
Molecule: microRNA, 21 nt
Filed under: Picea abies (Norway spruce)
Lineage: Eukaryota; Viridiplantae; Streptophyta; Pinopsida; Pinales; Pinaceae
Description: pab-miR11485
Source: miRBase by way of RNAcentral